RNAcentral lists this long non-coding RNA (788 nucleotides) under Equus caballus (horse). RNAcentral's name for it is "lncRNA (ENSECAG00000049662.1)". The record is from RNAcentral. Lineage: Eukaryota; Metazoa; Chordata; Mammalia; Perissodactyla; Equidae.
AGGAAAUCUACGAGCCUCUUCCUGGCAACGCUUUGCUACUUAACAUGAGAAAGUGACCUACAGAAACUGGAUGGUCAUAUAUACGGUCAACAUUACUUGGUGUUAGAAGUGAGAUCCAGAGAAGACCCUCCCAUCCCAACAACUCUGAGGCUGGAGAGCAAAUAGGUGCUAGUACUCACUGAGCCCAUUGCCCUCACUGCUUUCUCAUUGACCCUGGAGUUUGAGGUCUCCUUGGAAGGGAUUAUACCACUCCUUAAUACCCAGAUGGCAGCCAAACUUCAGGGACUCGAACCUUGGGUACACAUCUCACAGCUAAAGAAGUCUCCACCUGACAUCUGGUCCUGUACAAAUGCUGGAGCUCUCCAAAUCAAAUUGACCAGGAAGAGAAGCAGCUGACAUCUCAGGCAGCUUUUCUAAGAUGACUGGACCGGUCCUAUAUACCCUUUUCUCACUGUUAUUUAUUCUCUCUUUCUGCUUUGUGGAAAGACAAUGCCCUUGUCCACAUUUCGCAAAACUUUGCAAAAGAGGAAAACCUCUUUUGAUUAUGGCCUUUUAUAAACAGCCUCAUCAUUAUCCUUCAUGACAAAUUAAUCUUUUCACUUGCUUUUUCUGAAGAUUUGGAAAGUUCAGAAUUCACAGAACUCUUUCUUUCAUCUGGACUAUUAAUUGACUCUGGAUUCUUAUCCAAAUUCAUGGUCUCUGAAUUUGCAAACUUACAGGCUGCAUUAUUGGAUAAAACCUUUGGUUCCAAACAAUUCUUUUGAGAUAACAACACUGUUUUAAUACAU